UAUCGUUUGUGCACAAUUUGCUUUGUUUACGUGAAACGCAGUUACCGGUCACUCGACCGGUGCUGAAAAUGCAGGAUAAAAAUGUUACAUCGGUUCUUGCGGAGUUGCCAGGGGGGUAAUAUGCGGUGCAUCGCGCCUCCUCUGCAUGUAGUACGAAGCAAAUGUAAAUAAACAAUCCCACAAUUUUUUCGUUAGUCAGCAGUAGUGUAGGUUAACCAAUAUCCUACAAGAUUCCAGUUCGAAAAAUGUUACACUUGCCAAGCGGGGUGGCCCAGGGUGGCCCGCCUUUCCCAAGCGGCGAGGCCCGGAUAAUACAUCUUAGGUAGGCUUGAUUUGUUCGUGGAUGACAGGCUUACUCCCCCCCUGGGAGUUGCAGCAUUCGUCAUCCGUAUUUCGUGUCUGUGGAAGGGCUCGAGGCAUUCCAGUGAAGGAUCCGAGUGCACUGGUCAAGUGCAGCUUGCACCUGCUCGAGAAUGCACUGUUGACAUGAGACGAUGUAUUCAGUUGAUGUGAAGAAAAGCAAUUUCAUGGCAUUUCGAGACAACAUUAAAAUCUGUGACUGCUAGGCGGUUUUUAAUAGAACAGCCAACAUUAGCUGAAUAUCUAUAGACAUCAUGCAUUCUCUACAUAGUUAUAGACCGGCUCUCUGCUACAAUUCAAAUUAGCUGAGAAUAAUACCGCACCUCGUGGUUGGUUAGAACGCUAAUGAAUGCCGAAAUAAUGAAUGGUUAUGGUUCAAUCCGAGAUCCGCCCUCGGGCACAAACGGAACUUCUGGAGCGUAACACAAACAUAAUGCGCCCAAAACUUCAACUCGAUUCUUUUCAGGCCCGCAAGGCAUUUGCUUAGGCUGGCGAUACAAUCUCGGGUGGUAUUUAUGUUCCGAAUCUCGUAGCAGAGUUUGAUGGAUAGCUGCAUAAUUUACCAGCUUCCCAGCGGGAUACUUUCGGAGCUUCUGACCAGAACUGCAGUUCCUUCCCAUCAUCGUCCGACCAUGAAGCUGAUCCAGGAAUCCACCGGUGUCGCUGAUUUAAAAUCCACCCGACUGAUUUAAA
Long non-coding RNA from Armigeres subalbatus, 1053 nucleotides. RefSeq lists it as uncharacterized. NCBI's taxonomy places the organism in Eukaryota, Metazoa, Arthropoda, Insecta, Diptera, Culicidae. The record is from RefSeq and is a predicted model, not a curated record. The transcript has 3 exons.